AGAGAGGUUGGCGGCAGUGGUGGCUCUCCGGGCUGGGUUGUCAGUCAGUGAGAGGAGGGGGAAGAUGGUUCACCGGGACCCGUUCUGCUAGGAAGAAGGGGAGCAGUUGGUGCUGCUACUCGGGAGGAAGCAGAGCAGCCUCCGUCGCUGUCGCUGAGAGCCUCACGAGUCGAGGUCCUGCAGGUGGAGCUCCGGCAGCCGCCCUGGUUGAAGAUUUAGAACAGAUGUGGAAAAAUGUUUACUUCAGAGAAAGGGGUUGUGGAGGAAUGGUUGUCAGAGUUUAAGUAUUAGGUUACUCUUGAUCAAAUGACAGAAAUGGAAUGUUGCCUCGAGAUCUUUUGUGUCAUACUUUUGAAAUAUUGAAGAAUGCCUUAAUCUCUUCUUUAUGUAAGCAGUUGCAGUAAAACCUUUUUUCCCCCCCUCUGGAGAAUUGUGAAAGGUUUCCAAAUAGUCCACAUUUGCUUGCCCUUCUGACAUUACCAGAAACAUCUUUACCAAAUUAUGCCACAAAUUUGAAAGACAAGA
Molecule: small RNA, 525 nt
Filed under: Pan troglodytes (chimpanzee)
Lineage: Eukaryota; Metazoa; Chordata; Mammalia; Primates; Hominidae
Description: processed transcript
Source: RNAcentral